GCCAGUAUGGUAUAGUGGUUUGAAUGUUGGACUACGACUCUUGAGACCAGGGUUCGAUUCCCAGCUCAGCCA
This 72-nucleotide transfer RNA is filed under the name Phrynosoma platyrhinos (Desert horned lizard). RNAcentral's name for it is "tRNA-OTHER". Lineage: Eukaryota; Metazoa; Chordata; Lepidosauria; Squamata; Phrynosomatidae. The record is from RNAcentral.